Molecule: ribosomal RNA, 655 nt
Filed under: uncultured Actinomycetes bacterium
Lineage: Bacteria; Bacillati; Actinomycetota; Actinomycetes
Description: bacterial SSU rRNA
Rfam family: Bacterial small subunit ribosomal RNA
Source: RNAcentral
UGGCGGCGUGCUUACACAUGCAAGUCGAGCGAUGAACUACUUCGGUAGUGAAUUAGCGGCGAACGGGUGAGGAACACGUGAGGAAUCUGCCUUCUACACUGGGAUAACUCCGGGAAACCGGGGCUAAUACCGGAUAUGAAACUUGGUGGCAUCACCGAGUUUGGAAAGUUUUUCGGUAGAAGAUGACCUCGCGGCCUAUCAGCUUGUUGGUGAGGUAAUGGCUCACCAAGGCGACGACGGGUAGCCGGCCUGAGAGGGCGACCGGCCACACUGGGACUGAGACACGGCCCAGACUCCUACGGGAGGCAGCAGUGGGGAAUAUUGGGCAAUGGAGGAAACUCUGACCCAGCGACGCCGCGUGCGGGAUGAAGGCCUUCGGGUUGUAAACCGCUUUCAGUAGGGAAGAAGCGAAAGUGACGGUACCUACAGAAGAAGCACCGGCUAACUAUGUGCCAGCAGCCGCGGUAAUACAUAGGGUGCAAGCGUUGUCCGGAAUUAUUGGGCGUAAAGAGCUCGUAGGUGGUUCGUUACGUCGGAUGUGAAAAUCUGGGGCUCAACCCCAGACCUGCAUCCGAUACGGUCGAGCUAGAGUUUUGGUAGGGGAGACUGGAAUUCCUGGGUGUAGCGGUGGAAUGCGCAGAUAUCAGGAGGAACA